RNAcentral lists this ribosomal RNA (253 nucleotides) under uncultured bacterium. RNAcentral's name for it is "partial 16S ribosomal RNA". It matches the Rfam family "Bacterial small subunit ribosomal RNA", at positions 524 to 776 of the family's 1533-position model. The record is from RNAcentral.
UACGUAGGGCGCAAGCGUUGUCCGGAAUUAUUGGGCGUAAAGAGCUCGUAGGCGGUUUGUCGCGUCUGCUGUGAAAACCCGAGGCUCAACCUCGGGCCUGCAGUGGGUACGGGCAGACUAGAGUGCGGUAGGGGAGACUGGAAUUCCUGGUGUAGCGGUGGAAUGCGCAGAUAUCAGGAGGAACACCGAUGGCGAAGGCAGGUCUCUGGGCCGCAACUGACGCUGAGGAGCGAAAGCAUGGGGAGCAAACAGG